GACAGCUGUUUUUUUUAUUUUUUAUUAUAGCUCUUUCCUGUUAGACAGUCUGAAACCAAUACACCAAGAACUGAAUCGAGACUGCAGCGUUAAACACCAGCAGAUAAGCAGAUUUUAUUGCGAACCAUAGAAUGUAUAUAUUGGGGCCCAGAGUAUACUGGCCAUGAGUUUUUUCACCAGCCACAAUUGUGCUCUUUUGUCACCUGCACUGCCACCAUUACAUAUGAGAAACAUGGAAAUAAGGUGGAAGAGGCACAUUGCUUAUUGUACAGGGUGGGUCAAUAGGGUUAGGUGGCCGCCUGCUUUGACACCUCUCACCAUCCAGGAGUAGGAUGUUGGGGUCAGCAUAGGUUAUUUUUAGAACCAUUUUUGUAUUUUGCAUUAACCCCUUAAGGACCGGACUGUUUUGGCCAUGUUGUACGUUAAGGACCAGUGCUAUUUUAGCACUUUUGUGGUGUUUGUGUUUAGCUGUAAUUUUCCGCUCUCUCAUUUACUGUUCCCAUACAAAUUAUUUAUUGUUCAGGACAAGAAGGGCUUUCUUUACAUACCAUUGUUUGUAUCAUGUCAUAUAAUUUACUUUAAAAAAAAUAUUCAAAUAUGGUGAAAAUUUUAAAUAAAAAUGUGUUUUUGGACUUUUACUUGAAAAAUCUUUUACUUAUCUACAAAAGCUAAUGAAAAAAACUGCUAAAUAGAUUCAAAAUGUUGUCCUGCGUUUACAAACACCCAGUUUUUACAUGCUUUUUUGCUUUUUUUUUUUUUGUGCAAGUUAUAGGGCUAUAAUUACAAGUAGGAAAUUGCGGUUUCAAAAUAUAUAUUUUUUUAAAAUUCAUUAAUAGUGACAUUGUAACACUGUCAUAAAUCUCUGAAUCACACCUCACAUGUACAUAUUUUUUUAAAGUACACAACCCAUGGUAUUCAAUAUGGGAUAUGCCCAGUCUUUUUUAGUAGCCACUUAGUCACAAACACUGGCCAAAGUUAGCAUUUAUAUUUGUGUGUUAAAAAUGCAAAAAACAAUUAUGAACGCUAACUUUGACCAGUGUUUGUGACUAAGUGGCUACUAAAAAAGACUGAACAUACCCCAUUUGCAAUACCUUGGGUUGUCCUCUUUUGCAAAUGGAAUGCCAUCAUGGGGGUAAUUCUCAUUCCUGGGCUACCAUACGCUCUCAAAGGCAACAUAACCAACCUGGCAAAUUUCAAUGUAAAAAAAAAAAAAAUGGAAAAGCAAGCCUUAUAUUUGGCCCUGUAACUUUCAAAAACACUAUAAAACCUGUACGUAGGGGGUACUGUUAUACUCUGAAGACUUUGCUGAACACAAAUAUUAGUAUUUCAAAACAGUAAAACGUAUUACAAUAAUAAUAUCAUCAGUGAAAGUGCUGUUUGUGUAUGAAAAAUGCAAAAAAUGUCACUUUCACUAACAAUAUCAUCGCUGUGAUAUGUUUUACUGUUGAAACACUAAUAUGUCUGUUCAGCGAAGUCUCCCGAGUAAAACAGUAGCCCCAUGUACAGGUUUUAGGGUGUCAUAGAAAGUCACAGUCAAAGGGUUAAACACAGUGCUACCAAAUUGAAUUCUCUGGACUUUCAGCCUGGGUUGUCAGGCAGCUCCCUCAAAUUGCAAUCAAUAAAAUUACUGAAUUAUGUAAAAAUAUUUCAUAAAUAUGCACGUAGAAUUUAAAUAUACAUACAUACAUAUUUAUUUAUUUGAAGUCUACGUGUAUAUUUAUG
Molecule: non-coding RNA, 1722 nt
Organism: Pelobates cultripes (western spadefoot toad)
Lineage: Eukaryota; Metazoa; Chordata; Amphibia; Anura; Pelobatidae
Source: the annotation of a GenBank genome assembly